Propithecus coquereli (Coquerel's sifaka) is the source of this 1483-nucleotide long non-coding RNA. RefSeq lists it as uncharacterized. The record is from RefSeq and is a predicted model, not a curated record. The transcript is spliced from 2 exons. NCBI's taxonomy places the organism in Eukaryota, Metazoa, Chordata, Mammalia, Primates, Indriidae.
AGCUAUUACUAACUUCUUAAUUUGAUUUUUUAUGGAUGUGAAAAAUGCUGCUACUUGUCUGUAAGUAUAUUACAAUUUAAUUAAGUGGUGUUUGUUCUUUUGGAUUGAAAUUUAUGCCCACAGAUUUUUUUUUCAUUUGAAAAUGAAUGUGAAGAUACUGUUUACAGCUUUUGUUAAUUGCACUUUUCAUCACUCUGAUCAAUCUCUUGUAAAGUGCUAUGGGGAUUAUUUUUCCUGUGAAUACUAAUGAUCUUACUACUGCCUCAGAAGUUUUAAUAAAGGUCUGUGGACAGAAAACAGUUGUUGCAACAACAACAAACAAAAACAACACAUAAAGGGGAAAUCUUUAGCUUACCUUUCUCAGCUGAAUUAAAUGAUUUUAAUAACUUCCCAGUUACCAAGGUUAUAACAUUGCUUUCUUCAGUUAUUAACACACUCUUAAAUUGUUAGGCACAAUUCAUUUACAAAUUGAGUACAGUAGUCUGGGGCUACUUGUAAGUGCUCUCUUUAUUUUAUUCUUUACAUCAGAAAAAUCAUGAAUGUCAGUUUUGCCAGUAUUUUACAAUGAGGCUCAUAGUUUAAAUUAAAAUUUCAUAGUGUAUGAGAUGUAAAUAAAUGAGUAUUAACUUAUUGUAGGUUGUUUUGACUCAGGCAUUUAAAAUGGAUAUAGGUUAAUGGCAAUGGAAUCCUAUUUAUUUUGUAGUUUGGGUUUUUUUAUACUUUUGGUAUUUGUUUUGUGUUGCCUUCAAUUUCUGUUUACUUCAACUGAAGACAAUGUAUAGAGUUGAAAAACAGACUCAACAUAUCAAUGGAAAGCAAUGCAGAGAGGGUAAAUCAUGUUUUAAUUUAAAUUUUUUUUUUUGUAAAUAAACAGUACCGUGGUAUUUCAGGUGUGACCUCUGCUCAACAUGAUAGUUAGAACCAGAAAAACAUUUUGCUUUCUAGUUAUACUGUUGGUUCAUUGGAAAUGCAUUACCAAAAGACAAUAGGAAAAAAGAGCAAGAUUAAGUUUUUCUAACAUUGUCCACUUCAGGGGCAAGCAUGCGUGGUGUAGAGCUCUAGCUUGUGUAUACCUUAAACUGUACAUGCAGGUGUUUUUCAGUUGCUGCACUUUUUUUAAAAAAAAUCUUGCUCAGUCCCAGUAACUAUCUCACAGGUAAUUACUGGAAUAUGCAUUUUGAAAUACAGUUUUAAAAAAAAAAAUCUGUGUAUUGUUUCAUCUUAAAAAAAGCACUACUGCAAACACGAAAAAUGUGUUAAACUUUGUAGUUAUUUUGCAUUCCUGUACUUUACAAACUGUCAUCACAGCAAAAGGUUUAAAAUUAGGUAAUGAAAUAUUUUUGUAAAUAAAUACCAUUAAGCUGGUAUUUUAAAAAAUGUAUUAUAAAUUAAUGUUUCUGGAAAAUGUUCAUAUAUAUGUAUAUGAAUGUCUCUUUAUGCUGAAGGGCUCUGAUUGGGCAAAAUAAAAUACUCUCUCCUGAAA